RNAcentral lists this long non-coding RNA (345 nucleotides) under Canis lupus familiaris (dog). RNAcentral describes it as "lncRNA (ENSCAFG00845014363.1)". The record is from RNAcentral. Lineage: Eukaryota; Metazoa; Chordata; Mammalia; Carnivora; Canidae.
CAUUCUAGAAUCUCUACAUUUAUUAAGUUAUAAGACAAAACAUGAUGAAGCCUAAACUGAACUGAAAGCACAAGAUUUUAAUGCUGCAAUAUGGCCAAGACCAUCUGAAGAACUUAGAAAAAUAAUGAGGAACACCUCACAUGCUUGAAGAGGUUGAAUGUUACAUUUCAGAAGGCAUCAAGUUGCAAUGGGAAGGUAGCUUUUCUUUUUCUAGAGAAGAGAGUACAAAAUGACUGAAAUUCCUGCAAGGUGAUACACCGGUUCCUGCAAUUUUUCUAGGAGAUAAUAUGUGAGUCAUAUUAUCUCCUAAUUUCCUUCAAGUUUCACACAGGAAGGAGGAGCCUG